UACGGGGGGGGCAAGCGUUGUUCGGAAUUACUGGGCGUAAAGGGCUCGUAGGCGGCCAACUAAGUCAGACGUGAAAUCCCUCAGCUUAACUGGGGAACUGCGUCUGAUACUGGAUGGCUAGAGUGUGGGAGAGGGAUGCGGAAUUCCAGGUGUAGCGGUGAAAUGCGUAGAUAUCAGGAGGAACACCGGUGGCGAAGGCGGUUCUCUGGGCAUGUCCUGACGCUGAGGAGCGAAAGUGUGGGGAGCGAACAGG
Molecule: ribosomal RNA, 253 nt
Filed under: uncultured bacterium
Lineage: Bacteria
Description: partial 16S ribosomal RNA
Rfam family: Bacterial small subunit ribosomal RNA
Source: RNAcentral